RNAcentral lists this ribosomal RNA (503 nucleotides) under uncultured bacterium. RNAcentral describes it as "bacterial SSU rRNA". It matches the Rfam family "Bacterial small subunit ribosomal RNA", at positions 28 to 507 of the family's 1533-position model. The record is from RNAcentral.
AAUGAACGCUGGCGGCGUGCCUAACACAUGCAAGUUGAGCGGUAAGGCCCCUUCGGGGGUACACGAGCAGCGAACGGGUGAGUAUCGCGUGGGUAAUCUACCUAGAGGUGGGGGAUAGCCUCGGGAAACCGAGGGUAAUACCGCAUGAGUCCUCAACGGCAUAAGUCGAUGAGGGGAAAGACGGGGCUCCUUCGGGACCUGUCGCCUCUGGAUGAGCUCGCGUCCGAUUAGCUAGUUGGUGGGGUAAUGGCCUACCAAGGCAACGAUCGGUAGCCGGCCUGAGAGGGCGAACGGCCACAUUGGGACUGAGACACGGCCCAGACUCCUACGGGAGGCAGCAGUGGGGAAUCUUGGGCAAUGGGGGAAACCCUGACCCAGCGACGCCGCGUGGAGGAUGACGGCCCUCGGGUUGUAAACUCCUGUCAGGUGGGAAGAAAGGCCAGUCGGUUAAUACCCGGCUGGAGUUGACGGUACCACCAAAGGAAGCCCCGGCUAACUCCGUG